UCUAUCUACACCUGUAAAAAUUUUCCACUGACUGAUAAUAACGAAAUGACGUAAAGCGAGGUCAGAUGCUUGCUCAGGAUAUCCCGAGAAAGACCUGACUACCGAGACAGUCGAGUAUGGCCGAUCGCAGAAAUCAGCAAGGGUCAGUGCCAGGGCAAGCGCCAGCAGUGCUCACGAUUGCAGUUACUUCGGCAUAUAAUUCCAUAAACAUGUCAGCAGGUGGCUAUUUCCUUGUCGGUAGAGUAUCUUGCGUUGAAUGGUCAGUGAGUGUCAUCAGCGCCGCAGCGAUCCAUAAAUUUGAACGCUCGAAUCCUGUGCCAUCGCCAUCGUGGCGUCAUAUCUCUAAGCGCCUCCAGUUCAACCGCUGUUGCCGACAAGGGGUAACUUGACGUUAGUGCGGGUUCCACUUCGUCACCCUUAAGGAAGCCUGGCCAAGUGAUGCUUCUCUUUGGCGUCCGCUGUUGUUGUCAUCGUCGCCGUUGGUGUCUCGUAGUUGUCGUCUGCUAACAUAAACCGGACCGUUAACAUGAUGUUAUGAUCUUGCUAACGUCGACGCCUGCCAACUGCCGAAGACCUAACUGCUACGGUUGUUUACCAUCAGACUGUAAUUUGCGGCGUAGCUAUGAGCGGCAUGAUCACCAUCAACGAUAACAAUAAAGACGAACGAAACCAGCUGCCAACAAGAAUCACUGUCAAACUUAACUCACUAAUACAGUACAACUACAGCCCGUUCUAGAACAACCAAACUGAAUGAUACGCUCUGGCCGCACUAACCCCCCCAGUUUUUCCUGGAUACUGUACCAGCUUUGAGCCGUUGCCACUAGUGCUAUCGUGUCUGCGUCUGACCGCCACGGUUGUAACUGGCACUUCCAAAAUUGAAGUCACAAACCUUUGUCAUUAUGAUUAACUCGAUUAAUGAAGAAGAAUGCCGUUUAUUGUAUUUAUCAAAGAACAACUGAUGAAGUUGAUUGUAGCAAAUGAUGGGAUAGCAGAGCCAAUUUACUUUUGCCAAAGGCCAGUAUCGGACUCCAUUGACCCGCGGAUGUUAAGGGUUAUCGGCUGAUGAAAAACAAACGGUAAGACACCGUGGACAACAACAACAGCAACAGCAGCAGACUGUAUUCAUCUCACACAUAAUCGUCUUUAUCAGUUGUUGACUCAGGACGUGUAGCGUCUGGCCUGAGUCUCCAUCAAGUCUAAGACAGCCCGCAAUAUCAUCGGACGCACUAUAACGGCACAUAGUUGCCGCUCAUCACUUUGACAACGCUACGCAAUCAGCCAGUUUACUUGCUUGCACAUUAUAUAGAUAUAUAUCGCCAACGUGACGUAGAUACUACAAAUUUUCUAUAAAUAGAAUAGGUUACUUGGAGAUACUUGUGUUGGUCACGUAUUACACCCAUCGUUGAGGCGCGACCACAAUUUUCAGCUAUUACGUGAUCUACUUGUAGUCUAAAUGAUGGACCUGGCAGCUAAAGAUCGGUAGCUAACACUUGUUGACUAAUCGCUUAUUCGGGAAUCAAGACUGGAGAACAAAGACUUAGCUAAGGCCGAGAAGACAUUGAUAGCGUGGCUAUCGUACGAGCUAUUCUUGACCGGUCACUUCGCUCCUUCCCGGCCCGCUUCAGAGCGUCCUCUCCGAAGAAGCGAAGUCAUGUCAUCUCGAACACAUCGGACUGUCCAUCCAUUGACAAUUCCAUCCAAGUCUGCGUUAAGUCACUUAAAGAAUCUUACGUAGAAGAUACAAUAAACAGGGCGAUAGACAGACGACAGCAAGGCCUGAUCAUUUGCUUUCAGGAUGGCGGUAGCUGUACGCGAGUUCGACGCUAACGGAGAAAGGAUCGUCUACGAAUGCUAGAAGCUAUUUACAGGUGGAGUUUUUUGAUUUCGUCUGACUUGAACUCGGUUCUCAAUCCGAGUGC
This 1919-nucleotide long non-coding RNA is filed under the name Varroa destructor (honeybee mite). Its description in RNAcentral is "uncharacterized LOC111245802, transcript variant X4". The record is from RNAcentral. Lineage: Eukaryota; Metazoa; Arthropoda; Arachnida; Mesostigmata; Varroidae.